This 270-nucleotide unclassified non-coding RNA is filed under the name Hevea brasiliensis (rubber tree). Lineage: Eukaryota; Viridiplantae; Streptophyta; Magnoliopsida; Malpighiales; Euphorbiaceae. The record is from RNAcentral.
GAAACAUUUUUAGAGAAAGAAACAAAAUUACAUAUUGAUGUCAUGGUGCUCAUAUCUUUGAUAAUCCAAAGCCAGACUUGGGUAUUUUUGAAGGUCCACCAUCUAUAGGAGACAUCUUGAGAACCAAAAUGAAACCCCUGGUUGACUUCACGUAAAACGUAUUGUAGUUUUCCAUAUAUGCUAUUCUAUAUUUUAUGUUAUCUUUGGUAUCUGCUUCUCCCAAGUUCCAUUUUAUGUUCAUCAUAAACUAAACUAGUUGCCUCACUAACU